ACGGAGGGGGCUAGCGUUGUUCGGAAUUACUGGGCGUAAAGCGCACGUAGGCGGCUUUGUAAGUUAGAGGUGAAAGCCCGGAGCUCAACUCCGGAAUUGCCUUUAAGACUGCAUCGCUUGAAUCAUGGAGAGGUGAGUGGAAUUCCGAGUGUAGAGGUGAAAUUCGUAGAUAUCGGGAGGAACACCAGUGGCGAAGGCGACUACCUGGCCUGUUCUUGACGCUGAGGCGCGAAAGCUAGGGGAGCAAACGGGA
This 253-nucleotide ribosomal RNA is filed under the name uncultured prokaryote. RNAcentral's name for it is "partial 16S ribosomal RNA". It matches the Rfam family "Bacterial small subunit ribosomal RNA", at positions 525 to 777 of the family's 1533-position model. The record is from RNAcentral.